UGGAAUGAUUUUGGAAGGAUUCCCUCCUUUUCUAUUUCAUGGAAUAAUUUGAGGAGGGUUGAUAUUAGUUCUUCUUUAAAGGUUCGGUAGAACUUGACUGAGAAUCCAUCUGGUCCUGGGCUUUUAUUUGUUGGUAGGCUUUUGAUGACUUCCUCAAUCUCAUUACUCAAAAUUCAUCUGUUUAAAUUUUUUAUAUCCUCCUGGUUCAACAUGGGCAAGUCUCAUGUCUCUAGGAAUUUAUUGGUGUCUUCAAAUGUUUUAGAUCAUUGGAGUAUACAUUUUCAAAGUAGCUUCUGAUUAUCAUUUGUAUUUCAGUAAUGUCUGUGUUGAUAUUUCCAUUUUCAUCAUGGAUUUAGUAAUUUGAUUUUUUUCUCUUUCUCUCAGUUAGCUUGGCUAAGGGCUUAUCAAUUUUGUUCAUUUUUUCAAAGAAUUGACAUUUGAUUCAUUAAUUUUUUUGAAUUUUUUAAAAUCUCAAUUUCAUUGAUUUCUGCUCUAAUUUUAGUAUUUUCUGUCAUCUGCUGAUUUGAGUGUUGGUUGGUUUGUUUUCUACAGCCUUGAGAUGUAAUAUUAGAUUAUUUAUUUGGUAUCUUCUUAUUCUAUUAAUGUAUGAGCUCAAUGCUAUAAACUUUCCUCUUAGAAUUGUCUUUAUAGUGUCCCAUAGAUUUUGAUAUGUUUAUCAUUAUUCUCAUUUACCUCUAAGAAUUUUUUUUAUUUCAUCCCUGAUUUCUUCUACUAUCCAUUCAUCAUUCAAUAGUGAAUUAUUUAGUCUCCUGAUAUUGUAGUAAUUUUUAUUUUUUAUCUUAUCAUUGAUUUCUAAUUUCAUUCCAUUUUAUGAUCUGAUAGAAUGCAAGGUAUUGUAUCUAUUUUUGUAUUUACUGAGAGUUGCUUUGCAUUCUAAAACAUAGUCUAUUUUGGAAAAUAAUCCAUAUGCUACUGAUAAGAAAGUGUAUUCGGUCACUGAUGGAUGAGAUAUUCUAUAAAUAUCCAUUAAGUCUAAAUUAUUAAUUGUUUUUUUUUUAGUUCUGUGGUUUCUUUAUUUAGAUUUUGUUUAGAUGAUCUGUCUAGUGAUACAAGAGGCAUGAUAAAGUCACCCAAUAUUUUUGUGUUUUGGUCUAUUUGAUUUUUUGAUAUUGAGAAGUGUUUGUUUGAUGUAUGUAGAUGCUUAUUGUUUGGGGCAUAAAUACUUAAGACUGUUACUUGUUGUGUUAUGACUCCUUUAAGCAGUAUGAAAUGGCCUUCUUUUUCUCUUCUGAUUAACUUUGGCUUGAAGUCCACUAUGUCAGAUAUGAGAAUAGAAACACCUGCUUGUUACAAGA
This 1316-nucleotide long non-coding RNA is filed under the name Marmota monax (woodchuck). Lineage: Eukaryota; Metazoa; Chordata; Mammalia; Rodentia; Sciuridae. The record is from RNAcentral.